GGUUUGAUUCUGGCUGGAUUGAACGCUGGCGGGAUGCUUUACGCUAUAGAUCGAACGGCAGCACGGACUUCGGUCUGGUGGCGAGUGGCGAACGGGUGAUAAUGUAUCGGAACGUGCCUAGUAGCGGGGGAUAACUACGCGAAAGCGCUAGCUAAUACCGCAUCUACGCCCUUCGAGGAAAGCGGGGGCCUUCAAGACCUCACUAUUAGAGCGGCCGAUAUCGGAUUAGCUAGUUGGUGGGGUAACAGCUCCGCAAGGCGACGAUCCGUAGCUGGUUUGAGGACGACCAGCCACACUGGGACUGAGACACGGCCCAGACUCCUACGGGAGGCAGCAGUGGGGAAUUUUGGACAAUGGGGGAAACCCUGAUCCAGCCAUCCCGCGUGUGUGAUGAAGGCGCUUCGGGUUGUAAGCACUUUUGGCAGGAAGAAAAACGGCACGGGAUAAUACCCCGUGCAACUGACGGUACCUGCAGAAUAAGCAUAAGCUAACUACGUGCCAACAGCCGCGGUAAUACGUGGUGCAAGCGUUAAUCGGAAUUACUGGGCGUAAAGCGUGCGCAGGCGGUUCGGAAAGAAAGAUGUGAAAUCCCAGAGCUUAACUUUGGAACUGCAUUUUUAACUACCGAGCUAGAGUGUGUCAGAGGGAGGUGGAAUUCCGCGUGUAGCAGUGAAAUGCGUAGAUAUGCGGAGGAACACCGAUGGCGAAGGCAGCCUCCUGGGGCUAGCACUGACGCUCAUGCACGAAAGCGUGGGGAGCAAACAGGAUUAGAUACCCUGGUAGUCCACGCCCUAAACGAUGUCAACUAGCUGUUGGGGCCUUCGGGCCUUGGUAGCGCAGCUAACGCGUGAAGUUGACCGCCUGGGGAGUACGGUCGCAAAGAUUAAAACUCAAAGGAAUUGACGGGGACCCGCACAAGCGGUGGAUGAUGUGGAUUAAUUCGAUGCAACGCGAAAAACCUUACCUACCCUUGACAUGUCUGGAAUCCCGAAGAGAUUUGGGAGUGCUCGCAAGAGAACCGGAACACAGGUGCUGCAUGGCUGUCAAGUCAGCUCGUGUCGUGAGAUGUUGGGUUGAAGUCCGCAACGAGCGCAACCCUUGUCAUUAGUUGCUACGAAAGGGGAGCACUCUAAUGAGACUGCCGGUGACAAACCGGAGGAAGGUGGGGAUGACGUCAAGUCCUCAUGGCCCUUAUGGGUAGGAGGCUUCACACGUCAUACAAUGGUGGGGACAGAGGUCGCCAACCCGCGAGGAGCCAAUCCCGGCCCGAUCGUAGUCCGGAUCGCAGUCUGCAACUCGACUGCGUGAAGUCGGAAUCGCCUUUAGUAAUCGCGGAUCAGCAUGUCGCGGUAGAC
This 1355-nucleotide ribosomal RNA is filed under the name uncultured Bordetella sp. Its description in RNAcentral is "partial 16S-23S ribosomal RNA intergenic spacer". It matches the Rfam family "Bacterial small subunit ribosomal RNA", at positions 10 to 1367 of the family's 1533-position model. Lineage: Bacteria; Pseudomonadati; Pseudomonadota; Betaproteobacteria; Burkholderiales; Alcaligenaceae. The record is from RNAcentral.